UCGCUAGUAAUCGCGGAUCAGCAUGCCGCGGUGAAUACGUUCCCGGGCCUUGUACACACCGCCCGUCUCGCUAGUAAUCGCGGAUCAGCAUGCCGCGGUGAAUACGUUCCCGGGCCUUGUACACACCGCCCGUCACACCACGAGAGUUUGUAACACCCGAAGUCGGUGGGGUAACCGUAAGGAGCCAGCCGCCUAAGGUGGGACAGAUGAUUGGGGUGAAGUCGUAACAAGGUAGCCGUAUCGGAAGGUGCGGCUGGAUCACCUCCUUUCUAAGGAAAAUGAGGCACACUUGGUUUUUGUUUAGUUUUGAGAGAUCAUUCUUCUCUCUAUGAAAAUACUCAUAGGAUGAAAACAUUCUGCAUACGUUAGGUUCCUUUUUUAAAGGUACACCUGCUAAAUGCGCCACGUCCUGUGGCAACGCAUGCGUUAGCACAUCCUGUGCGUCAUGUUCCUUGAAAACUAGAUAACGAUAAUAUUCAAGUAAUUCACUGAGUUUAAAUGCUUAAAUUAGUGAUUCUCUUAAUAAUGAAAAGACAUGAAAAUGUCGAAGGUUAAGUUGUUAAGGGCGCACGGUGGAUGCCUUGGCACUAGGAGCCGAUGAAGGACGGGACUAACACCGAUAUGCAAAAAGGGCGCACGGUGGAUGCCUUGGCACUAGGAGCCGAUGAAGGACGGGACUAACACCGAUAUGCC
This 693-nucleotide unclassified non-coding RNA is filed under the name Bacillus subtilis. Its description in RNAcentral is "partial contains 16S ribosomal RNA, 16S-23S ribosomal RNA intergenic spacer, and 23S ribosomal RNA". The stretch from base 1 to 269 matches the Rfam family "Bacterial small subunit ribosomal RNA", at positions 1255 to 1533 of the family's 1533-position model. The record is from RNAcentral. Lineage: Bacteria; Bacillati; Bacillota; Bacilli; Caryophanales; Bacillaceae.